Molecule: ribosomal RNA, 92 nt
Filed under: Helicobacter typhlonius
Lineage: Bacteria; Pseudomonadati; Campylobacterota; Epsilonproteobacteria; Campylobacterales; Helicobacteraceae
Also listed under: 1 other name
Source: RNAcentral
ACACCCAGCUCCAUUCCGAACCUGGCAGUUAAGCUUCUCUUCGCCGAUGAUACUGCACUUUUCAAGUGUGGGAAUGUAGGUCGAUGCAGGGA